This 4532-nucleotide long non-coding RNA is filed under the name Solanum lycopersicum (tomato). RNAcentral's name for it is "long non-coding RNA (SLYC_LNC000420)". Lineage: Eukaryota; Viridiplantae; Streptophyta; Magnoliopsida; Solanales; Solanaceae. The record is from RNAcentral.
AAAAUUCAUACCAGAUGGAUCAACGAUUUUAAAUAUAUCUAAAGGUACAAUGAAUCCCCAUUUAUACAAAAUUCAUUUCGAGUUCAUACAAUAUUCACACAAGUACUUAUUGUUACAAAUAUUUUAUGUUGUUUUGACUGUUAAACACAAAUUUUAUUUUAUGGAGUGUAUUUGGUAUUAUUAACAUUGAUAAAUUCUGAUUUUGUGAAAAUUGUCCAACUAUAAAUAACAUUGAAAUACGCUUUGUAUAAAUGUGAACCACCGUAUACAAGUACUAUUCAAAUUCCUUACAUAGUGUUGGAUUUUAAAAAGGUGUCUAUGGAAAAUGAAGAGUUGCGAUUUUUAUGAAGAGUUGUGACUUUUAUGAAAUGUUGCAACUUUUAUGAAAAGUUGUGACUUUUAUGAAAAGUUGUGACUUUUAUGGAAAGUUGUGACUUUUAUGAUAAAUGACGACCUUUCUGAAAGAUUGUGACUUUUUCAAAGGUUUGUGACCUUUUUGAUAAGGCACAAUAAGAACCUUUUCGCACUACCCUUUGUUUUCUAUAAAUUGAGGGAUUUCCUCUCAUUUUAAUAUAGAAUUCAUGGACUUCUUCUUCAACUACUAAAUCUAGUAUUCUAAGUGUACUUUACUAUCGUUGAGUGGUUCACUGAUGGAGUUUUUGAUAUCUAUACUCUGGUUAUUGAGAUCAUUUUACCCUGGGAGGUCAUAUUCCAAAUCAAACCUCGGAGUACUAGAGGGGAAUAAUUUCCUUAAGGGGACACUGUGAGUUCAGUGGACUUGAUCUUUUUCCUAUUAAAAUUUUUCGAGAUUCUGGUACGUAUUUUACAAAUAUUAGAUUUGGAAAUUAAUUCCAGUUCUUCUAUUCUUCACUGGUUCAAUAAACGUGGUAACUUCGUGUUUCUGCAAAGUUUAUUGGAAUCAGUAAGAUUCUUUAGACACAUAUUUAACAACAAUUCAUCUUUAAAAAAUAUUUUGUAUAUUUUCUUUAAUCUGUUUCUGAUUCUAGUUUCGCUACUAGUUUUAAUUUUCUAGUUGUGAAAAUGUUCUUAAACUUUGUUGUCUUACAAAGAUGUUCAAAGUUUUGUUCUAAGUAUGUUUGGAAUAUAUGUCUUGUCGCGCUCCAUUUUCGCAGAAAACAGGUUUUGUGCACGACCUAACAACUCUUUUGGGAUUUUCGAGUUUGGAGUCGCCACCUAACGAAUUAAGGCGCGUUAGGGCACCUAUUUAACCUAACUAAAUCUAACUAAGGUCAACGGGCCAGAGAUUAGGGUAAGGGUUCAAAUUACCUCGAGGGGAAGGUGUUAGGCAUCCCUCGAGGUCCACAAGUGUGGGUCCCGGCCGUAUCUCAUGCAAUCUAUGUGGGGGUACAAGUAGCAAUCAAGGUCGUUUAAUUUAUUAAUUUAUUUGAUCUUACUAAGUGAUAACAAAUAUAAAACACUUAAUACUAUUAAUUUAAGCAUGCAAGGCUAGGUGAUAGCAAUAAAUAAACAAUCAAGUUUUAUUUAUAUUUAAGCAUGAGACUAAGUUAUAAACAAAAUUUAUAAAUAUUAAACAAUUAAUAUGUGAGAAAGUAAUGUUUUGAAAAUUGAGCAAGUUUUGAAUAUGAAUUUUUAUUUUAAAAAAUAUUUGUUUCUUUAUAGGGAUGAUGCCACGAUAUUAUUGAUCGUGCUUCUCCACCAUAGAAACAAUUUUGAUUUGAGGUUGGUCUAAAAAUAGUUUAUGUUUUUGAAAAAUGAUUUAGUUUACACGUAGGCAUAUAAACAUUUACAUAUAAAUGCAUAUAAUUUCUUUUGAAAUUCAUGGGUAGGUGGUACUUCCGGGGACGCGUCGGGUUUAAAAAGUUGGAACUAGACCUCGUAGUUCCUUUGACUUUCCCACUAAUGAUAGGUUAGGAGAUAGUGCUUAUAAUUUUUUUUAAAAAUAAACAAUGUCAUAAUCAAUCCAAAGUUUUAAAGAAAGAUUGAAUAAUGACUUUUUAAGAAAAUUAUGUUGCAAGGUUUUGAUAUGAAAUAAUUUUUUUUGAAAGCCAAGUAAUUUGCUAAAUGCGUGAAAUGAUUCUAAUUUAUUUUUUUUUUAAAAAACAUAUUGCAUCAUGAAUGAGGAAGACAAAUAGAAUUAAUAUCAACCAAUUUUGGGGGAAGGACACAAAUAUGCACAAACAAAUUUUAUUUUUACGAAUAUGUUAAGAGUUUAUUUACAAGCCUAUAGACAUGAUUUCUAGGUGUUCAAAAAAAAAGUAACACAUAUAUGCAUAAUUUUGUAAAUUUAAAUGUUAUGAACAAAUUAAACCUUAGACAUGGUUUCUACAUGACAAGAUGAUGCUAAAAUUAUAACAUUGAUAAAACACCUAUCAGCCUAUUAUGAUUUUAUUUUAAAAUUAACGGAAUCUAGUUUAAUAUUUUUUAGACUUAUUAACAAAGCAUCAAACAAUUGAUUGGAUUAUAACACCUACAAACAAUAGUUCUAGGUGGUUAAAGGCAAACCUAUAGGCAUGAUUUCUAAAAAUUUAUAAUGAACAACUAGGCAUAUAAAUCCCCCUCCCCUAGACGACUCCCCCAAAUGAAUUUAUUAUAUGAUCUUUAGAGUUACAAUUGUUACAACAUUCGAAUAAAUAAAAUAGGAGAAAAAAUAAAUAAAUACAUAUACAUUCAAAUAAACAAAUAAAUCUUUCUUCAAUUAAUCUUCAACUUGAACUUCAAGUUUGAAACCUGUUAAAGCAGUCAAAUAACGUUUGAGUAGAUUAGAAAUGGUAGCAAUGAAAAGCAAGUUGAUCCAACCUUUACUCGAACAAAAGCAAAAAGCAAGGUAGCGAAGAAGAGCACUUGAAUGUUUAUCGAAAUAUUAAUGUAAUUAGAGUAGCAAGAGAGCAAUGAGAAUGAAGAGUGAUGAGAACUUGUGAUUUUGAGAGUGAAUGAGUGUAUGAGUUGAAGAAUGUUCAACCAUGUGUGUGUAAACAUGUGUAAGGUGUUCAAAUUAAUGAGAUAAAAAUGGUCACUUUUCUAGCAGAGAAGAGGGUAUAUAAUAUAAGUAAAGAAAACAUUUAUGAUUAAUUAAAUAUAGUUUUCCUUAACCAAAGAAGCACAAAAUCAGUAAUAUUUACUAAACUAAUAAAGAUUUUUUCAAAAAUAAACAUGUAAGAAUAAAUUUUAAAAUCCAAUUAUUCUAAAGGACCAAUUAUAUAUCAGUUUUUCCUUUUAAAAAAGGCCAAAUCAGAAAAUUUAUUCUUAGCUUAAUCAAAUAUCUUCCUUAAUAAGCAAAGAGUAAAAUCACUCAUCUUUAUUUCUUAUCAUAACCGAACAAAAAAUUAACCAAAAUAAUCAAAUAAGCAACUUAGUAAAUAUUUUACCUAAGGUAGAAAAUCAAUUAACACAAGUCAGCAAAUUGAUAAAAUUAUAGGAAAUCUGCCAAAGCAAAUGAUUUGUUAAAAAGAAAAGGGCACCAAAUAAGUCCAAACCAUAUUACUUCAUUAUAGUUACUUACUAUAAUCAAAACAAGUAAAAACCAAGGGUCAUUCAUAUAAUUAAUUACAUUUCCCAAAAGAUCAAGUACCCCACACUUUUAAAGGUGAUCUCCAGCAAUUAGAUAAACAUAAUUGACCUAACAGAUCCCAUAUUAGAUCGUCAUUCAAGCAAACAACAUCAUUCACAUAUAUAAUUAGUUGAUUAACACAAAAUUAACAUAAUUGAGUCCACCAGAUUUUCAAGUUUAGCAAGAGCAUGCAUAGAUCAAUCAAGACUUUUACAGAUAAAUAUUUCGACAUCAAAAUUCUGCCACGUAAAUUAGUAGAUUAGCAACACAAUCUAAUGAAACACUAUAAGCAAACUAACAUAUUGUAAUGUCUUGAGCACACGAGAAAAUUGGAAAGUCACAAAUAUUAAUGAACCAGCAACCCAUACACGUGGAUAUUACAGCUUAAAAAAAGAUGAUAGUUCAUACCUGGGAUAGAUCUGUCCUUAUAAUAAUGCCUUGAUUUUUAAUUCUAGAUCCAACUUACUGGAGUGGAGAUUGAUUGUUGUUAAUGUUGAGUUUCCGACAGAGAUGGCUGGCCGGUGGGAGGCGCUGGUUGCUGCUGCUUCGCGGGCUGCUGCCUGUUGGUCAUUGCCGGAGAAUGACGGGUUGCUUGUUCAUGCUGGCCGGAGCAGUUGCUCGUCGUGGAUGCUGGUGUUGCUAUUGCAUCCCUUCAUAAAAAAAAUAAAAAGAGAAAAGAGAAGAAGAAGGGGGAGAGAAGAGACGGGAGGGGGAGAGAGGAGAAGAGAAAAAUGAGGAGAGCUAAAGAGAGCGGGGGAGAGGGAAAUGGGGAGGAGAGAAAGCAUUAGUUGGAGCAGCCUUCGCCAGAGCUCUCGUCGGUCUGCUGGUGGAGAGGCGAGAGACGGGGUCCGGCGACUGAAGAGAGAGGAGAGGGGAGGAGGACGGCUGGUCGGAAAAAGGAGAGAGGGGAGGCUCGCUGAGAAAACAGGGGGAGGGGGAAGACGGCUGAAGAGAGAGGAGCGAAGAUGAUGGGAGAGGCGGCUUUGAGAGGGGGGAGGAAGAG